AAAACGACUCUCGGCAACGGAUAUCUCGGCUCUCGCAUCGAUGAAGAACGUAGCGAACUGCGAUACUUGGUGUGAAUUGCAGAAUCCCGUGAACCAUCGAGUCUUUGAACGCAAGUUGCGCCCGAAGCCUUCCAGCAUAGGGCACGUCUGCCUGGGCGUCACGC
Molecule: ribosomal RNA, 164 nt
Filed under: Fagraea sp. B SM-2012
Lineage: Eukaryota; Viridiplantae; Streptophyta; Magnoliopsida; Gentianales; Gentianaceae
Also listed under: 1 other name
Description: 5.8S ribosomal RNA
Rfam family: 5.8S ribosomal RNA
About the family: 5.8S ribosomal RNA (5.8S rRNA) is a component of the large subunit of the eukaryotic ribosome. It is transcribed by RNA polymerase I as part of the 45S precursor that also contains 18S and 28S rRNA.
Source: RNAcentral